Molecule: ribosomal RNA, 212 nt
Filed under: uncultured bacterium
Lineage: Bacteria
Description: partial 16S ribosomal RNA
Rfam family: Bacterial small subunit ribosomal RNA
Source: RNAcentral
CAGUUCGGAUUGUAGUCUNCAACCCGGCUACAUGAAGCUGGAAUCGCUAGUAAUCGCGGAUCAGAAUGCCGCGGUGAAUACGUUCCCGGGUCUUGUACACACCGCCCGUCACACCAUGGGAGCCGGAAAUGCCCGAAGUCAGUGACCCAACCGCAAGGAGGGAGCUGCCGAAGGUGGAGCUGGUAACUGGGGUGAAGUCGUAACAAGGUAAC